RNAcentral lists this microRNA (22 nucleotides) under Caenorhabditis remanei. Its description in RNAcentral is "crm-miR-39". Its record names the gene crm-miR-39. Lineage: Eukaryota; Metazoa; Nematoda; Chromadorea; Rhabditida; Rhabditidae. The record is from miRBase by way of RNAcentral.
UCACCGGGUAUGAAUCAGUUAG